CGUCCCUCCUAACCUUAUUUAAGGGCUGAUAACCACAAGGGAAGCAUUUCUACUUGGAGAUUGCCUCCUUUGGAGUCUUUGGUGAGCUCUGAGUAGUGGAAAGGAAAGUGUCGAUUAUGGACCAGUGUUUGUACAGGAGCCAGAUGAUGUGAUUUUUCCCACUGAUUCUGAAGAGAAGAAAGUGUCUCUGAAUUGUCAAGCUCAUGGAAAUCCUACCCCCACAUAUAGAAGAACUCAAUCAACAAGUACUUCAAGCAUAUCCAUUUCUUCAGCUCUCCAGAGAUUUACUGGUAUUAGCAGCUUCAGAAACAGCCUGUCCUGACUGCUGUUCAUUCAAAGAAGGCUUUGACAAUAAAGGCCUAGUUCUAGUUC
Meleagris gallopavo (turkey) is the source of this 372-nucleotide non-coding RNA. The record is from RefSeq and is a predicted model, not a curated record. Lineage: Eukaryota; Metazoa; Chordata; Aves; Galliformes; Phasianidae.